CUGUGCAUGCACUGGAGAGUCAUGUGUCCAGGAGAACUUGAGCUGAGAGGCAGGUGGAGGAAUAAGAAGUGGAAUAAGGUGUGAAGGGCCCUAAGCUGCAGGCAGUUCCUGCGAGUAUCACGUGGCUGGUGUGGAUUCAUGGCUGCAGGUGGAUUCCUGGGUUCCAGAUGCAUUUAUCAAGUUCCACGCGGCCGAACUGAUGUCAUGCCUCUAUCAUCAUCAUGUAUUUAUUCAGCAUAAGGAAAAGAAUUAGUAGCUACUGUCUCACAGGUAAGAAAGAGAAUGAGAAUAUUUUAGAUUAUACAGUAGACACCCAGAUAAAGGAAGACUAUUCUUAUUUGUGAAAUAACUGGCAGCUCAUUGGUCAUUGCAGACGUCAAUCUCUGUGUGCUCAUGGUGACCCCGCUUGGUGAAAUUCCCAACCCCACCAAGUUUCCUCUGAUCUGGUAAGUGGUCUCCAUGGCCAUCUGGGGCUUGCACAGCUUCUGUGGUCCAGCUUCUCCACGGGUUUGCUUUCUGAAGCACCCUCACAGCCCACAUUGGUCCAGGCUGGCUAGCCCAAGAAACAAGAAAAUUUUCUUUGCAAGUUAUCUGCCCGGGUGUGGCCGGACAUGAAGAAUGACUCUGUAUCUAAUUGUAUAACAUUGUGAUGAAUGUUUUUAAACAAAAAAUACCCUGAAGACAGAAUUGCCAAGCUCCAAAAGCAAUCCAGAUGGAUCUUCCGACCUCAUUCUGCAUCAACAUUUCCUUUAUGUUCUUGGAGAGAGCUGAAGAGAUUUUUAUAUCCGUUCACAUUUCAAUCCUGGGACUAGGAAAGUUUCUCUCUUGUGCCUUAAAGAGCAACGUGUGCCACUAUUAAACUUGAACUGUCUGGACAGCUGUGAGGAUGGAAAAGAAAUACCAUGCUUGGAACGUUUUCAUUUUGUUGUGGUAUUGCUUAUUGUGCAGCUGGUCUGAAUUCUCUCUAAAAAUAUGUUGUGCAGCUGUUUCUCUGAGGCAGAACCUGAGGGCAAGUAUCAACCCAUCACCCCACACAUCCUUUCUGAUCUAGCAAGCCAUUUUGUCCUUAACUUGCUGUAGCAUAAUCACAAAAGAUUGCUGUUUAUCAGAAUCUUCUUUUGGUUACAGUGUAUGGGUUUAUUCCCGGAAGUUGCUGGAACACAGAAUUCCAUUCUAAAAGGCUUUCUACCCCCUCCCCCCAUUUUCAUAGUUGCCAUGGCAACAUUUGCUCUGAUGACACCUUCAGGAUUGUUACCACCAUCACAGUUAUUUCUUCUGAUUACCAUUGUGGCUUCUUGUCAUCAGCAUCGUCACUUUGACUGUCGGUUAGUCGCAUUCCGAUCCUUAACCUCUGGCCUCUGGGGAGCAUCUUCUCAAAACAGUUGAAAAAUGAAAAAAAAAAAAAAAAAAAACAAAAACCCAAAAACAAAACUGGAUGUAAAUUCCAAUAGAUUACCAGAAGUGCAAUUAUCCCCUGCAGGUUUAUUUUUUUCUUUCCUUUUUUAUUCCCACCAAGUCAAUGUAAUCCUUCCAGAAUGUAUGCAUAUAAAUUUGUCAUAACACCAAGGUAUACGUGGUUGUUGCUCCUGCUUUUUGUUUUUAGAAGAGGAAUGUAUGGUGGAUGUGAUUAUAUAUCCAAAGCUUUCUUUUUUUUUU
Molecule: non-coding RNA, 1656 nt
Organism: Sus scrofa (pig)
Lineage: Eukaryota; Metazoa; Chordata; Mammalia; Artiodactyla; Suidae
Source: RefSeq, a predicted model, not a curated record